GCAGGACGGUGGUCAUGG
This 18-nucleotide small nuclear RNA is filed under the name Arabidopsis thaliana (thale cress). RNAcentral describes it as "snRNA_12316". Lineage: Eukaryota; Viridiplantae; Streptophyta; Magnoliopsida; Brassicales; Brassicaceae. The record is from RNAcentral.